GCGAUGAAUGGCUUGCAAGGGCGGUCGGCUAGUCUCCCGGAAGGGAGGUGACGCUAUGGAGGUACAAGACGCGAUGACGCUGAUGUUCACGUUCGGCAUGUUUAUUCUCGCGCUGCUCACUUACCUCAAAAAAAAAUAGACCGCCCUCUCGCGAAGGAAUGCGGUCUACUCUAUAAUCUCAUAUCCUGAUACAGCCUUCCGCCCUUAAAAGCGGUUAAUCGCGCCGGGAGUCGGUUGCCGCCGACUCUC
This 249-nucleotide small RNA is filed under the name Paenibacillus sp. CF384. RNAcentral describes it as "BsrG". It matches the Rfam family "BsrG". Rfam says of the family: bsrE, bsrG and bsrH pair through intermolecular interactions with antisense sRNAs. SR4 interaction with the 3'UTR of bsrG RNA promotes bsrG degradation and inhibits its translation. SR5 also overlaps bsrG from nucleotide 163 to 52 (Rfam overlap check). Lineage: Bacteria; Bacillati; Bacillota; Bacilli; Caryophanales; Paenibacillaceae. The record is from RNAcentral.